This 4742-nucleotide long non-coding RNA is filed under the name Xyrichtys novacula (pearly razorfish). Lineage: Eukaryota; Metazoa; Chordata; Actinopteri; Labriformes; Labridae. The record is from RNAcentral.
GGGUAAUUGAAAAACGCUUUCUCCUGGUGAUGUUGUCCAAAGUAGUGCAGAGCCUGUUGGAUUAUUCCUCUCUACCUGAUAUUGUGAUGCUAGAUCGUACACAGACACUGUGUGCUUGUAACAAGUAUUUUCGUAUAUCAUGAUGAAGGGAAAUAGUUGAGAUAUUGUCUUUAUGUGAAAGAAAAGCUUUCAAUCAAUCAUUUUUAAGUACAUUCUUGGAGUAUGAGCAUUUGUCUCUGUCUUUUGAAAAAGUAAAAGCAUCUCUUUUGGCAUUAAUUGGUAUGAAAACCAUGUGCACAGAGCAAAUGGCUCUUUCAAUGUUGUGGAUCAAAAAUGCUUGCCACAGUUAUAAGCAUAAAAAAAUUUGAUUUUUUUUCACACCUUGUCAAGGGCGAAGCUGCCCAACUAGUAAAAUCCUUGAUGAAAAAGCUUUGAGGCUACAAGUAUUAGCUGAGCCCAAUACUCUCGAGUCCGGUGAAUAAAUGCUAAUCAGAUUGUUUGCCUGUACGUUAUUGUCUCAAACAAGCAGGAAACAACAUUUAAAGAACAUACAGCGACUUGGAGAAUUGAGAGAACAAAACACAGAAGAACAAAACACUGCAGUUCCUUAAGUGUCCACUUGAAACAGACUCCAAAAGCCAUUUGAACCCCCUAUAAGCUCAUUUCCAAAUUUUCAGAGAAAACAUUUUACAGGUGUUGGCCUCUGUGCCUUUAAUGUUAACUGUACAGCAGGGGAAUGUUCUUAUAAGUUACCCAUUUUGAUUAUCUUGUGCUGUGUUCCAGUUGUACUCGGAAGUCGGAAUUUCCGAGCUCCGAGUCAGAAAUUCCAUGAAGUCGUAUUUCUGGCGAGGAAAGUCGGACAAUCCUCACCAACCCUGACUUGACAACAACGCCAUAAUCCAAGAUGGCAGCGCAGUGCAUCGACAGUAAAGAGUAACAAUGAAAGCUCUCGUACUGUAAUAUUUAUUAUCACCUCUGUUUUGUUUUUGUGAAAUUAAAUAAGUGGUAUAUGCCCAGCGUCUAACUGUGAACACGGUGCUAUGGUGUUUGUAAGAGGAAAAUACUGUUAUGCAUUCAUUACAACUAUGUGAAUUCCCCAGUUUGGGAUCAAUACAGUCUAUCUAUCUAUCUAUCGAUCUAUCGAUCUAUCGAUCUAUCUAUCUAUCUAUCUAUCUAUCUCGUAUAGCUAACAACAACUAACAACCACUGACAACAGCUAACAAUGGGUAUCUGUAGGAGUCCAUCUUGGUUUUCUGACUUCUUAACUCGAACGCUGUCAACUUGCGUGUAACAUCAUUCCCAGCUCCGACAUCCAAGGUAACUGGAACGCAGCAUUAAUGCUGAGAGCUGUUCAUUAUCAUGCAUAUUCAUGGGCGUGGUUGAUUUGACUGACACUUUAGACUUGACCUCUUUGGGGUUUCAAGAUUAGUUGGUAAUUAGCUGGGGUUAGUGUGUCAAAUGUGUUGAGCACGACUCUGGGCUUCAGAAUGUCUCAGCAGGAGCUCCUUCACUUUGAAUACAUCCAUUCCUUUUAUUCAGAUGACACACCGAAAAUGUCAAUCACUUGAAUACAUUUCACUGACUUAGAAAUCAUGUCCAUUUGGUAAAGUUUAAGUUAUCAUUUCCUUCUGGACAUAAGUGGUGGAUCAUCUGAACAACACUGUUAUGUUCCUACUUAGACUAAAGAUUUACACCUACAAAUUUAUGCAUUAGCACAGUAUUUAACACUUAGACAAUAUGUGUUUGACUGUGUGUGAGAAAGAUGAAAAAUAUGCAUAUUUCUCAAAAUGGCCUUGAAGUCCUUUCUACGAUUCAGAUUUUUAAUGUGUUAAGGUCAGCAUAUGCUUUGAGAUAAUCAUAUACUUCAGCACAAGGCCAAAUUGGGAUCCUUCCCUCACAAUGACCCAUUAGUUAAAGUCUGUGACUUGGAAAAGGAUGCAUGAUUCAUGAGUGAGCUAGAGAGCCAUUCCUAUUUUCAAGUCCACACUGGACCAGUCAUUACCAUAAAUUUCCCUGGUUUGCAUAUCAGUGCAGACUGUUGUGAGCCUUAGCCAAAGGACCAGGGGUGGAAGUGGUACACUUGUGGUGAAAGACUCUUAAUGUGAAAGGGCUCUUCUACUUUUAUUUCCAUUUCUCAACCACAUCUUUUCCUUCUAGUCCAACCCUUGGCCCCUGUUUGCCCUUCCACCCUUUCAUUCUCCACCCGCCCCUUCUACCAACCUCCUGCUGUUAUACCUCUAUCAAACACACUCCCCUGUUUAACUUUCCUCCACCCUUCAAACUGUCCAUCCUCAUUCCCUUACCUAUUCUCUCACUGUCUCUCCUCUUUCCUCUCUAUUCUAGUAUCUUCUGCUCCCUCGAUCCGUCUGUCCACCAUCCCUCCAUCUAUAUCUCAUUCCCUCUCUCCAAUUUUUCUCUCUAAUCCAUAUUCAUGUAAUUUCUAUAUGGCAGCCGGGGGCUGCUGUUAGGGACUGUUACUUUGUGUUAAAGGUCUUGAAAGCCCGUCUGAUUUACAGUAAUAACUUGGGAUAUAUCCAGAAAUACCAUUAUCGAAGCAUGCGCACACAUAGAGGCAGACACACACACACACACAAACACACACGCACACACACGCACACCCACACAGAGCUAUUUUCUACCUCCUAUAGCUACCUUCUGUCCUCUAUCCUGCUUGCAAUUUUUGUUGCACUUCUGAGCUGCUGUUACAAUCAGGCAUACAAUCCAACAAAAAUAUGACUUUUAAUGGAAUUCUAAGGUGGUCUGUGUGGUCCGUGUCCUUGUGUGUGUGUGUGGCUUUGUAUAUUUUUAUUCAUGCGUCCCAUUCCUUUACACAUGCCAAUGAAUCUGAGCGGUAAAUGGGAAACAUGGAUAUUAAAGAGCCAUCAAUUUAUGCAGCAACAAGAGAGAAUUGAUUGAAUUUGCUCGGAGUUAUAAUAACACAGAGGUGGUGAGAAAAAUCAAAGCCUGCCUGAUGCAUGAGGUGUCAUUGCCUUAGUCAUGGGAUGUGAUUGAGACGAUUGGCUCUGAACAACACAGUUAGCUGUUUUCAUCAGGGAUCUGAUGGUUUAAGCUAUCAUCACACACAGUAAUCCUAGUAUUACAAUGCCAGUGAGACAGUUGAGCCACAGCAUGAUAACACCUGACCAAAAAAUGUUACUUUGUUUUACUGCCCUUGCAGCGUGUGUACUAGUAUGCAAAGCAGGACAGCCAGCUAACAUCUUAGGAGUGCUUUCAUAACCAUACAAGGCUUUACUUUUCUUAUAUUUUACUGAAGUGUUACUGGAAUUGUGAAACUGAAACAUGACAGAAAUCAAAACAUAAGUCAGCAGACACAACGUGCUCAAAGUAACUUGUAAUUAUUUAUCUAACACUUACAGACAAAUAAUCUCGAAGGCAGAAGCCUUUUAGAUACACAGCAACAUGUGUAUUGUGUGCACAACUGCAGCGCAAGAAGCUAGCAAAGACGAGGAGACCUGCAAAGCUACACAGCUACACAAGGAACACAGCGCUGACUCUGACGAGAAACAACAAAGUACUUAAUUUUCUGACCCUUUAAACUGAGAAUUUAUUUAACAAUUUCCAACUGUUUACCUUCACCUUAAAGGCAGCACAAUUGUGUUCUCCAUUCGUAAGUGUUUCAUUUAAUCUACAAAAGAAAUGACAUGGGAUCUGCAAAGUGGUGUCAUCCUAAGACUCUCAGAUGAAUCUAUUUUGUCUAGGUCUCUGUAGUUUAAGAUAUUGUGAUUUUGGGCUCCUCACUUUAUCACUGUUGAGACUUCUUCAUUCCUGUUUUUAAGCAUAUUUGUAUUGUCGAAGAGAGUCACUAGAGGGUCUGAGUACCAUAUAGACCUUUGAGAAAAGGAUAGAGUAAGAAAAAGUGCACACGUGCAGGAAGUUUAGUUGGGAUUUAUUUUGACUUUGAGCUAUUUUUUGCUUGAUAUAAUGGAAAGGGACAGUGCCAGAGAUUUAAGGCUCCAUAAAAAAGAUAUACACAUACUGUAUAUAUAAAUAACAGAUGUUCUUGUGAUUUAAGGGCCCUUGUCAGGCUCUCAGAUUUAUCCCAAGGCUCCCCUGAGUUUUGCUGAAUUAAAUUUUCUAUAGUUUGUGUUAGCCCUAUUUCCUUUGUCAUCCAUCGUUUGAGUCGAUACCCAGGGUGUCAGUUUUGGAGCAUUAAAAAUGAUAAAAUUAAGGUAAGAAAUUAAUGUUUUUAUCAUUAUUUAUGUUAAUCUUCCGUCUCUUAUGCUACUUGCCAUCUGUGGUGAAGUUGCUAUGAUGUUUGACAACACUACAGUGUUUUUACUUCACUUUGAAAACUCCAAGAAGACUCUGUCAAAAGAAAUACGCACUUUAUAUCAAACAGAAUAAAAAUAUCACCAAGUCGAGUGUUGAGCUUCACAUUUAAGCUGCAAGAUGAGAAGUUAUCUUACAGGUGCAUUUAUUCAGACUUAAGUAACGGGCAACUGCAACACAAAAGCCAGCAGAGCGCUAUUUUGAAGUGCGUGGGUCACAAUCAACCUGUGAGUGAAACUAAUUUAAAGAUGUUUACAGUGCUUGCUAAAGGGGUAGCAACUGACUGCAGGCCCUACAUUGGCCUAACGUUGGGGUAGACUUAUGUCUAAAGGACAUCCUCAAGAUUAUCAAGUCAUUUUCUUUACCACCAUGCAUAACAGGCGUUUCACACCUUGCAAGACUGAAAUGAGACAGAGAAAGCAAUCACAGUGAAACUCCUAAAAAUGCAAAUG